Molecule: ribosomal RNA, 253 nt
Filed under: uncultured bacterium
Lineage: Bacteria
Description: partial 16S ribosomal RNA
Rfam family: Bacterial small subunit ribosomal RNA
Source: RNAcentral
UACAGAGGGGGCAAGCGUUGUUCGGAAUUACUGGGCGUAAAGGGCGCGUAGGCGGCCUGUUAAGUCGAACGUGAAAUCCCCGGGCUCAACCCGGGAACUGCGUCCGAUACUGGCAGGCUUGAAUUCGGGAGAGGGAUGUGGAAUUCCAGGUGUAGCGGUGAAAUGCGUAGAGAUGUGGAGGAACACCAAUGGCGAAGGCAGCCUCCUGGGCCAACACUGACACUCAUGCACGAAAGCGUGGGGAGCAAACAGG